CUACGGGGUGCUCCAGUGGGGAAUAUUGCACAAUGGGCGCAAGCCUGAUGCAGCAACGCCGCGUGAACGAUGAAGGUCUUCGGAUCGUAAAGUUCUUUUCUUAGGGAAGAAAAAUGACGGUACCUAAGGAAUAAGCACCGGCUAAAUACGUGCCAGCAGCCGCGGUAAUACGUAUGGUGCAAGCGUUAUCCGGAAUCACUGGGCGUAAAGGGAGCGUAGGCGGUUUUGCAAGUCAGAAGUGAAAGGCUACGGCUCAACCGUGGUAAGCUUUUGAAACUGCAAGACUAGAGUGCAGGAGAGGCAAGUGGAAUUCCUAGUGUAGAGGUGAAAUUCGUAGAUAUUAGGAGGAACACCAGUGGCGAAGGCGACUUGCUGGACUGUAACUGACGCUGAGGCUCGAAAGCGUGGGGAGCGAACAGGAUUAGAUACCCCCGUAGUC
Molecule: ribosomal RNA, 439 nt
Filed under: uncultured bacterium
Lineage: Bacteria
Description: partial 16S ribosomal RNA
Rfam family: Bacterial small subunit ribosomal RNA
Source: RNAcentral